Molecule: long non-coding RNA, 288 nt
Organism: Haliotis rubra (blacklip abalone)
Lineage: Eukaryota; Metazoa; Mollusca; Gastropoda; Lepetellida; Haliotidae
Exons: 4
Source: RefSeq, a predicted model, not a curated record
AGGAAACCGGAAGUCUGUUCACACAACUCUACAACGUUCAGCUGCGCCGCCCCGACCUUGUUAUAAAGGGUCCUUCCACUGUUAAAGCCGGGGAGACAGUAGACGUGGACAUCUCCUUCACCAACCCGCUCCCCGUCUCGAUGACCAAAUGCGAGGUGGAGAUUGAAGGCAACAUGAAAACGGUGGCACCACUGAUGGACAAAAUCACAAUAGGAAGCAUCUCUCCUGGACAGACUUGGAAGAAGACGAUCAAGAUGUGGCCUACAGUCUUUCCUCGAACCCAGAAGA